UUACGGCCAUAUCCAAUUGAAAUACCGGAUCCCGUACGAUCACUGGAGUUAAGCAACGUUAGGCCUGGUCCAUACCAAGAUGAGAGACUGCUUACGAAAACGAGGUG
Molecule: non-coding RNA, 107 nt
Organism: Acanthosepion pharaonis
Lineage: Eukaryota; Metazoa; Mollusca; Cephalopoda; Sepiida; Sepiidae
Source: the annotation of a GenBank genome assembly